Molecule: long non-coding RNA, 329 nt
Organism: Symphalangus syndactylus (siamang)
Lineage: Eukaryota; Metazoa; Chordata; Mammalia; Primates; Hylobatidae
Source: RefSeq, a predicted model, not a curated record
GGGAAAAUAGGCGGGACCGCGACGCGGGAUGAGAAGGCUUGGAGCGGUGGGGGCGCUCACGUCAGAUACAGGGUCUUGCUCCAUAGCCCAGGCUGCAAUGCAGUGAUGUGAUCAUAGCUUGCUGGCAGCCUCAAUCUCCUGGGCUCAACCGAUCGUGCUGCCUUAGCCUCCCCUGUUACAGAGACAAGGUCAUACUAUGUUGCCCAGGCUGGUCUCGAACUCCUAGCCUUGAUCCUCCUGCUUCAGCUUCCCAAAGUGCUGGGAUUACAAGCAUGAGCCACUGUGCCCAGCUGUAUACUGGAUAUCUGAGACUUGGUACCAAAAAAAAA